AAUCCAUAUUGAAGGCAACGUCGAAUCAAAUCUUUAUAUCUUUCUCAUGCUUCAUAGUGACUCGAAAUCAUUUUGCUUGAAUUAACCAAUCUCAUUCCUGAGUUG
Molecule: small nucleolar RNA, 105 nt
Organism: Juglans microcarpa x Juglans regia
Lineage: Eukaryota; Viridiplantae; Streptophyta; Magnoliopsida; Fagales; Juglandaceae
Source: RefSeq, a predicted model, not a curated record